This 743-nucleotide ribosomal RNA is filed under the name uncultured archaeon. RNAcentral describes it as "bacterial SSU rRNA". It matches the Rfam family "Archaeal small subunit ribosomal RNA", at positions 53 to 799 of the family's 1478-position model. The record is from RNAcentral.
GCUAGUCGACGAGUUCACACUCGUGGCAGAUAGCUCAGUAACACGUGGCCAAGCUACCCUUCAGUCGGCAAUACCCUCGGGAAACUGAGGCUAAUGGCCGAUAUGAAACAGUCGCUGGAAUGCACUGUUUUCUAAAGACACCGCUGAAGGAUGCGGCUGCGGCCGAUUAGGUAGACGGUGGGGUAACGGCCCACCGUGCCAGUAAUCGGUACGGGUGAUGAGAGUCAGAGCCCGGAGACGGAAUCGGAGACAAGAUCCCGGGCCCUACGGGGCGCAGCAGGCGCGAAACCUUUACACUGCACGGAAGUGCGAUAGGGGAAUCCCAAGUGCGAGGGCAUAUUAGCCCUCGCUUUUGUUGACUGUAAGGUGGUCAACGAAUAGGAGCUGGGCAAGACCGGUGCCAGCCGCCGCGGUAAUACCGGCAGCUCAAGUGAUGUCCCAUAUUAUUGGGCCUAAAGCGUCCGUAGCUGGCCACCCAAGUCCAUCGGGAAAUCCACCCGCCCAACGGGUGGGCGUCCGGUGGAAACUGGCUGGCUUGGAACCGGAAGGCUCAGAGAGUACGUCCGGGGGUAGGAGUGAAAUCCCGUAAUCCCGGACGGACUACCGAUGGCGAAAGCACUCUGAGAAGACGGCUUCGACAGUGAGGGACGAAAGCUAGGGUCUCAAACCGGAUUAGAUACCCGGGUAGUCCUAGCUGUAAACGAUGCUCGUUAGGUGUGGCACCCACUACGAGUGGGUGCUGU